RNAcentral lists this ribosomal RNA (497 nucleotides) under uncultured bacterium. RNAcentral describes it as "partial 16S ribosomal RNA". It matches the Rfam family "Bacterial small subunit ribosomal RNA", at positions 28 to 507 of the family's 1533-position model. The record is from RNAcentral.
GAUGAACGCUGGCGGCGUGCCUAAUACUUGCAAGUCGAGCGAACAGACGAGGAGCUUGCUCCUCUGACGUUAGCGGCGGACGGGUGAGUAACACGUGGAUAACCUACCUAUAAGACUGGGAUAACUUCGGGAAACCGGAGCUAAUACCGGAUAAUAUAUUGAACCGCAUAGUUCAAUAGUGAAAGACGGUUUUGCUGUCACUUAUAGAUGGAUCCGCGCCGCAUUAGCUAGUUGGUAAGGUAACGGCUUACCAAGGCAACGAUGCGUAGCCGACCUGAGAGGGUGAUCGGCCACACUGGAACUGAGACACGAUCCAGACUCCUACGGGAGGCAGCAGUAGGGAAUCUUCCGCAAUGGGCGAAAGCCUGACGGAGCAACGCCGCGUGAGUGAUGAAGGUCUUCGGAUCGUAAAACUCUGUUAUUAGGGAAGAACAAAUGUGUAAGUAACUAUGCACGUCUUGACGGUACCUAAUCAGAAAGCCACGGCUAACUACGUG